This 501-nucleotide ribosomal RNA is filed under the name uncultured bacterium. RNAcentral's name for it is "partial 16S ribosomal RNA". It matches the Rfam family "Bacterial small subunit ribosomal RNA", at positions 30 to 523 of the family's 1533-position model. The record is from RNAcentral.
AUUGAACGCUGGCGGAAUGCUUUACACAUGCAAGUCGAACGGCAGCACGGGUGCUUGCACCUGGUGGCGAGUGGCGGACGGGUGAGUAAUGCAUCGGAACGUGCCGUAUAGUGGGGGAUAACGCAUCGAAAGGUGUGCUAAUACCGCAUACGCCCUGAGGGGGAAAGUGGGGGACCGUAAGGCCUCACGCUAUACGAGCGGCCGAUGUCCGAUUAGCUAGUUGGUGGGGUAAAGGCUCACCAAGGCGACGAUCGGUAGCUGGUCUGAGAGGACGACCAGCCACACUGGGACUGAGACACGGCCCAGACUCCUACGGGAGGCAGCAGUGGGGAAUUUUGGACAAUGGGGACAACCCUGAUCCAGCCAUUCCGCGUGAGUGAAGAAGGCCUUCGGGUUGUAAAGCUCUUUUGUCAGGGAGGAAAUCCUUAGCGUUAAUGCCGUUGGGGAUGACAGUACCUGAAGAAUAAGGACCGGCUAACUACGUGCCAGCAGCCGCGGUAA